RNAcentral lists this ribosomal RNA (279 nucleotides) under uncultured bacterium. RNAcentral describes it as "partial 16S ribosomal RNA". It matches the Rfam family "Bacterial small subunit ribosomal RNA", at positions 506 to 784 of the family's 1533-position model. The record is from RNAcentral.
UGCCAGCCGCCGCGGUAAUACGGAGGGUGCGAGCGUUAAUCGGAAUCACUGGGCGUAAAGCGUACGUAGGUGGCAAAGUCAGUCAGGCGUGAAAGCCCUCGGCUCAACCGAGGAAUUGCAGAGUAAACUGUCAGGAUAGAGUAUGGAAGGGGCAGGUGGAAUUUCCGGUGUAGGGGUAAAAUCCGUAGAGAUCGGAAGGAAUACCGACGGCGAAGGCAACCUGCUGGGACAUUACUGACGCUGAGGCACGAAAGCGUGGGGAGCAAACAGGAUUAGAUA